UACGGGGGAUGCAAGCGUUAUCCGGAUUUAUUGGGUUUAAAGGGUGCGUAGGCUGUGAGGUAAGUCAGCGGUGAAAUGCCCCCGCUCAACGGGGUGAGGUGCCAUUGAUACUGCCUUGCUGGAAUGCGGAUGCCGUGGGAGGAAUGUGUGGUGUAGCGGUGAAAUGCAUAGAUAUCACACAGAACACCGAUUGCGAAGGCACCUCACGAAUCCGCGGUUGACGCUGAUGCACGAAAGCGUGGGUAUCAAACAGG
RNAcentral lists this ribosomal RNA (254 nucleotides) under uncultured bacterium. Its description in RNAcentral is "partial 16S ribosomal RNA". It matches the Rfam family "Bacterial small subunit ribosomal RNA", at positions 524 to 776 of the family's 1533-position model. The record is from RNAcentral.